CAUGACAUUGGGAGGCAGGGCUCCGUCUGCAUCCCUUGCAGCAGGUGAGUAAGGGGAGCAGGCGUCGUCUGGGCAUCACAGAGCUUCAGAGCAUUGAGGACGCUCCUUGGGUCACCUCCUCAUUCCCAGAUCCACUGCGUCAUCCUACUCCAGCUCUUUCUCUCCCGGACACUGGCGGCGGCCCCUGAGCUGGUCUCCCCAGCUCCUUAGUUGACCCGUCCAAGAUGUCCUCAUGAAACAUCCAGAGUGCCCUUUCUCAGAUGCAAGCCAGUCUGCUUCACUUGCUGCUAAAAACCUCCCAGGGGCGUCAUCACCUGUGUGGUGAAGUCUGAGCUCCUUGAAUUCCCAGGCCUCCCUGGCCCAGCCCCGGCCUGCUCUCCUUGCCUCCUCCUGACAGUCUCCUUUCCAGCCCUGCAUCCAGCACGGCCAGGACUCACUCACAGGUGGUAUAGUUAAGGUCAAAGAACUGGACUGGCUGAAGGACGACCUCUGCACAGAUCCCGAGGCCCCCUUCAGUUG
This 519-nucleotide small RNA is filed under the name Pan troglodytes (chimpanzee). RNAcentral's name for it is "processed transcript". Lineage: Eukaryota; Metazoa; Chordata; Mammalia; Primates; Hominidae. The record is from RNAcentral.